This 253-nucleotide ribosomal RNA is filed under the name uncultured bacterium. RNAcentral describes it as "partial 16S ribosomal RNA". It matches the Rfam family "Bacterial small subunit ribosomal RNA", at positions 524 to 776 of the family's 1533-position model. The record is from RNAcentral.
UACGAGGGGUGCGAGCGUUGCUCGGAAUUAUUGGGCGUAAAGGGUAGGUAGGUGGUCUUAUUUGUCUGGGGUGAAAGCCUUGAGCUUAACUCAAGAAGUGCCCCAGAAACGGUGAGACUAGAGUCCUGGAGAGGGUCGUGGAAUUCCCGGUGUAGCGGUGAAAUGCGUAGAGAUCGGGAGGAACACCAGAGGCGAAGGCGGCGACCUGGACAGGUACUGACACUAAACUACGAAAGCGUGGGGAGCAAACAGG